Molecule: ribosomal RNA, 253 nt
Filed under: uncultured prokaryote
Description: partial 16S ribosomal RNA
Rfam family: Bacterial small subunit ribosomal RNA
Source: RNAcentral
UACAGAGGGUGCGAGCGUUGUUCGGAAUUAUUGGGCGUAAAGGGCGCGUAGGCGGUGCCACAAGUCACUUGUGAAAUCCCCGGGCUUAACUCGGGGCCUGCAGGCGAAACUGUGGUGCUGGAGUAUGGGAGAGGUGCGUGGAAUUCCCGGUGUAGCGGUGAAAUGCGUAGAUAUGUCACAGAACACCAAUUGCGAAGGCAGCUUACUAUGGUAUGAUUGACGCUGAGGCACGAAAGCGUGGGGAUCAAACAGG